AUGUCGACGAGCCCGGUCAUCGGUAGGUGCGAAGCGCAAAUCUUCGGGCACCAUCGACAGCGACGCCUCCAAAGUCCAAACCCCACGCACUCGGCAUUGCCGCCGGCACCACGAUAUCACCGCUCCGCCGGUGUCAUGAGGCCUCUGCUCUCCCGCCUAUUCGCCCCCAGUCACAUCGCCAUGGCCGCCCCCUCCGCAUCGCCGUCCCGACGGCUCGCCCACCUCACACGCCACCUCCUCGCCUCUUCCUCGUCCUCCCCCUCCGGCGAGCUCUCCUCGGUGGGCGCCCCCGCCGCCGCCGCCUCCGGCCCAGCCCGCGCGGCCGCAUCCAAGGCCUUCGCCGCCGUGCUGGUCUGCAUCUUCGAGGACACACGCGGGGACCCCCGCGUCCUCCUCACCAAACGCGCCUCCACCCUCUCGUCCCAUUCAGGGGAGGUGUCGUUGCCGGGAGGCAAGGUGGAUCAGGGGGAUGUGGAUGUUAAGGCCACGGCUCUGCGGGAGGCAGAGGAGGAGAUUGGGCUGGACCCGGCGCUUGUAUCUGUUGUGACAGUUCUUGAGCCCUUCUUGUCCAAGAAUGGCCUUGAUGUUACUCCUGUAAUUGGCAUUCUUUCGGAUAGAGCUCUAUUCAAUCCUGUCUUGAAUAAAGCUGAAGUGCAAGACAUCUUUGACGCCCCUCUGGAGAUGUUUCUGAAGGAUGAUAACCGGACAACAAGACAAAGGGACUGGAUGGGGAAGACUAUUCCGGUCCAGUUCUUUGACUACGAGGCAGAGGGCAAAAAAUAUGUCAUUUGGGGCUUAACCGCACACAUUCUGACCCGUGCUGCAUCAGUCGUUCUACAGAGACAGCCAUCAUUCUCUGAACUUCCGAAUAGACCAGAAACUAUUCCCACCAGCAAGCACUGA
RNAcentral lists this ribosomal RNA (903 nucleotides) under Triticum aestivum (bread wheat). RNAcentral describes it as "partial small subunit ribosomal RNA". The record is from RNAcentral. Lineage: Eukaryota; Viridiplantae; Streptophyta; Magnoliopsida; Poales; Poaceae.